UACGGAGGGUGCAAGCGUUGUUCGGAAUCACUGGGCGUAAAGCGCGUGUAGGUGGUCUUUUAAGUCUGGUGUGAAAGCCCGGGGCUCACCCCCGGAAGGGCACUGGAUACUGGGAGACUAGAGUACCGGAGAGGAAGGUGGAAUUCCUGGUGUAGCGGUGAAAUGCGUAGAUAUCAGGAGGAACACCGGUGGCGAAGGCGGCCUUCUGGACGGCUACUGACACUGAGACGCGAAAACGUGGGGAGCAAACAGG
This 253-nucleotide ribosomal RNA is filed under the name uncultured bacterium. RNAcentral's name for it is "partial 16S ribosomal RNA". It matches the Rfam family "Bacterial small subunit ribosomal RNA", at positions 524 to 776 of the family's 1533-position model. The record is from RNAcentral.